RNAcentral lists this ribosomal RNA (433 nucleotides) under uncultured bacterium. RNAcentral describes it as "partial 16S ribosomal RNA". It matches the Rfam family "Bacterial small subunit ribosomal RNA", at positions 29 to 507 of the family's 1533-position model. The record is from RNAcentral.
AACGAACGCUGGCGGCAUGCCUAACACAUGCAAGUCGAACGAAGGCUUCGGCCUUAGUGGCGCACGGGUGCGUAACGCGUGGGAAUCUGCCCUUUGGUUCGGAAUAACAGCUGGAAACGGCUGCUAAUACCGGAUGAUGACGAAAGUCCAAAGAUUUAUCGCCAGAGGAUGAGCCCGCGUUGGAUUAGGUAGUUGGUGGGGUAAAGGCCUACCAAGCCGACGAUCCAUAGCUGGCCUGAGAGGAUGAUCAGCCACACUGGGACUGAGACACGGCCCAGACUCCUACGGGAGGCAGCAGUGGGGAAUAUUGGACAAUGGGCGCAAGCCUGAUCCAGCAAUGCCGCGUGAGUGAUGAAGGCCCUAGGGUUGUAAAGCUCUUUUACCCGGGAAGAUAAUGACUGUACCGGGAGAAUAAGCCCCGGCUAACUCCGUG